UACAAAAUAGCAAAAAGUUACAAUCUUUGGUUUUUGUUCUAUUUUAUUUUGUUUAUUUCGUUUUGUUAUGUCAACAAAAAUGGGGGAAUACGGAUAAUAUGGAUACUAUUAGCUAUUUUCAAUACGUAAUAUAUGUUCAAAUAAGCAUAUAGAUUUUAUUUACAAAUCUAUGUAGAUUUUUAUCCUUAUUCACCCUUUUAUAUUAUUAUGUUUCUCUGUUUCGUAAUUUUGUAUUAUCUAGAAUCUGUAAGAAAAGCUGAAGAGAAGAUGGAAAAAGCCUUAGAUGUUUCAGACUUGUCAUAGUCUGAUAGGGAUAAUUCUAUUAAGCGUCAACGAUUUGUUACUUAAAGGUAUAGUCCCUCUUUCAAGGGGCUCUUGAACCGACACAAAAGUAAUAAUGCUGAUACUGAUGAUUCAGAUGUUGAUUCAGCUACUAAUGUUGAAUUGAAAGCGCCAACUAUAACAAACUUAAAAAUAAGUGGAAAUGAAAACAAUAGACAUCAUCAUUUAUGUCAUAUUACAGUGAUACAGAUGAAGAAAGUAUCGACGAAAUUAAUGCAAAACAGAUGCAAAAUAUUUCACAUAAGUCUCAGGUAUCAGAAAAUAUUAAUGAAAAUGUCAAUGACAAAGUUAAACUUGUUGAUCAAACUUAUGCAAGAGAAAAAGAGAUAAAGAUAGGAAAUGUUCAGAAAAAUGCAAAAACGAACAAUCAGGACAAAUUAAUAAAUGGAAAUAAGAAGGAUAAAUUAAUGAAUGGAAAUAAGAAGGACAAAUCAAUUUCUAAGUCUCACCAGCCAAACUAAGUCUCAUCAGCCAAACUUAGCAGCUUGUCAUACAUCGUUUUCAACAAAUUCCUUCAAUAAAUCACCUCUUAAGAAAAAUGAAAUCAGAGGUAGGACUAUAAUGGCUGCUAUAAAUGAUUUGCGAGCUCGCAUUGAUAUACUUCAUGUAACCAUCAUAAAAAUUUAUACUGCAACAUGUUCUCCUGUAGAGACAUCUGAUAAUUUAAUUGGAAUUCCAACUCUUCCAUUCUUUCAUUUCCUUGAAAGAAUUGGAUGACUGCGAGAAUUUUUUAUCACAAGAAGAAAACAAAUUGAUGAUGGUUGGACUUUUAGCAGAGCAUGGCAAAGAAGAUCUCAAAAGCUCUAUAUAUGAUGCAUAAACUAAUGACAAAUAAAGUUGCUGUAAAUUUUAAUUUUGAAGGGAUUAAUAGAGAAGGAACAACCAUUAAAAAGAAAAAGUUUCAAAAUACUUUAUCUCAUGGUCUUGUUAUUGCUGCUCAUAAAAAACAUAGAAAUGACAGAGACCUUGAGUUCUUUUAUAAUAAAGAAACUGCAGAUUCUUAUAUUGAAAACUGGUUGAAGAAUGCAAAAAAGCGUUUUAAAAAUGAAGAGCUAAAAUCAGAAAAAAAUCAGCAACGAAAUAAAGUUAACAAUGAUGAAGAA
Long non-coding RNA from Pogonomyrmex barbatus (red harvester ant), 1445 nucleotides. Lineage: Eukaryota; Metazoa; Arthropoda; Insecta; Hymenoptera; Formicidae. The record is from RefSeq and is a predicted model, not a curated record.